This 253-nucleotide ribosomal RNA is filed under the name uncultured bacterium. RNAcentral describes it as "partial 16S ribosomal RNA". It matches the Rfam family "Bacterial small subunit ribosomal RNA", at positions 524 to 776 of the family's 1533-position model. The record is from RNAcentral.
UACGUAGGGUGCAAGCGUUAAUCGGAAUUACUGGGCGUAAAGCGUGCGCAGGCGGCUUUGCAAGACAGAUGUGAAAUCCCCGGGCUUAACCUGGGAACUGCAUUUGUGACUGCAUGGCUGGAGUGCGGCAGAGGGGGAUGGAAUUCCGCGUGUAGCAGUGAAAUGCGUAGAUAUGCGGAGGAACACCGAUGGCGAAGGCGGCCUGCUGGGUUCUGGCUGACACUGAGGCGCGACAGCGUGGGGAGCAAACAGG